Molecule: non-coding RNA, 325 nt
Organism: Meleagris gallopavo (turkey)
Lineage: Eukaryota; Metazoa; Chordata; Aves; Galliformes; Phasianidae
Source: RefSeq, a predicted model, not a curated record
AGGGUGGGGAUGCAGUUGCAUCUGAUACAUGUCCUGAUCCUGGAAUUCCUGAAAAUGGGAAAAGAGUGGGCUCUGACUUCAGGGUGGGUGCAAGUGUGCAGUUUUCCUGUGAAGAUAACUAUGUGCUGCAAGGUUCUAAGAGCAUCACUUGUCAGAGAGUGACAGAUACACUGGCUGCCUGGAGUGACCACAGACCAAUUUGCCGAGCUAGAACAUGUGGUUCUAAUUUACGUGGACCAAGUGGAAUUAUUACAUCACCAAAUUAUCCAGUUCAAUAUGAAGACAAUGCACACUGUGUGUGGGUCAUUACAACAAUAGAUCCAGA